This 236-nucleotide long non-coding RNA is filed under the name Mytilus galloprovincialis (Mediterranean mussel). The record is from RNAcentral. Lineage: Eukaryota; Metazoa; Mollusca; Bivalvia; Mytilida; Mytilidae.
GUGGAAGGGCAGACUAGAUUUUUUUAGUGUAUGAAGACUAUAAACCCUAGUAAUCACACACAAAAAAUUAGAAUUUUUCGAAGAUAUGCAUUUUCAUCAUCCAACUUGAAAGACUGUCGUCAAGUACUUUCAGUAAAAAAUAGCUAUUCGAACACACCUUCUCAGUUUUUGUGACUCAUUAGAUAGGUAUUUCACUUGACCCAUAUAUUUCAUCUAUUAGUACUGUGAUUUUUUUG